Molecule: unclassified non-coding RNA, 251 nt
Filed under: plant metagenome
Description: partial contains small subunit ribosomal RNA, internal transcribed spacer 1, and 5.8S ribosomal RNA
Rfam family: Eukaryotic small subunit ribosomal RNA (bases 1-54)
Source: RNAcentral
GGAGGUAAAAGUCGUAACAAGGUCUCCGUAGGUGAACCUGCGGAGGGAUCAUUACAGAGUUCAUGCCCUAACGGGUAGAUCUCCCACCCUAUGUUAUCAUCACUUUGUUGCUUUGGCGGGCCGUCAGGCCUCGGCUUGGCUACCGGCUCUCGCUGGUAAGCGCCCGCCAGAGAACCCCAAACCCUGAAUAUCAGUGUCGUCUGAGUACUAUAUAAUAGUUAAAACUUUCAACAACGGAUCUCUUGGUUCUG